Long non-coding RNA from Folsomia candida, 163 nucleotides. RefSeq lists it as uncharacterized. The record is from RefSeq and is a predicted model, not a curated record. The transcript has 3 exons. NCBI's taxonomy places the organism in Eukaryota, Metazoa, Arthropoda, Collembola, Entomobryomorpha, Isotomidae.
GGCCAAUGGUCAACGUAACUGCUACGCCCACGUGGUCUGGCAGUCUUCCUUUCCAUCCUUCCUAUCCCCAUUCCUUCACACUCACAUUGGUUCUUCCCGUGAGCAGUCACCAAAAAUUCUCCCUCCGGUCCUGAAGAAGAACGAAGGUUCGAAACGUUGACCA